Molecule: ribosomal RNA, 497 nt
Filed under: uncultured bacterium
Lineage: Bacteria
Description: partial 16S ribosomal RNA
Rfam family: Bacterial small subunit ribosomal RNA
Source: RNAcentral
GAUGAACGCUGGCGGCGUGCCUAAUACAUGCAAGUCGAGCGAACGGACGAGAAGCUUGCUUCUCUGAUGUUAGCGGCGGACGGGUGAGUAACACGUGGAUAACCUACCUAUAAGACUGGGAUAACUUCGGGAAACCGGAGCUAAUACCGGAUAAUAUUUUGAACCGCAUGGUUCAAAAGUGAAAGACGGUCUUGCUGUCACUUAUAGAUGGAUCCGCGCUGCAUUAGCUAGUUGGUAAGGUAACGGCUUACCAAGGCAACGAUGCAUAGCCGACCUGAGAGGGUGAACGGCAACACUGGAACUGAGACACGGUCAAGACUCCUACGGGAGGCAGCAGUAGGGAAUCUUCCGCAAUGGGCGAAAGCAUGAAGGAGCAACGCCGCGUGAGUGAUGAAGGUCUUCGGAUCGUAAAACUCUGUUAUUAGGGAAGAACAUAUGUGUAAGUAACUGUGCACAUCUUGACGGUACCUAAUCAGAAAGCCACGGCUAACUACGUG